Long non-coding RNA from Piliocolobus tephrosceles (Ugandan red Colobus), 1726 nucleotides. The record is from Ensembl. Lineage: Eukaryota; Metazoa; Chordata; Mammalia; Primates; Cercopithecidae.
GUAGUAUAAAGUCAUUACAACAUACACCCCGAUAUUAUGAUUAUAAAAAUAGUAAUGAUAAAUUAUCUGAAAGGAGUUAUAAUAAAAGUAUGUAUAAAUAUGAUAGUAAUAAUAAUAAUAAUAUUAAUAAUAAUAAUAUUAUUAUUAGACAUAAGAAUAAACAUAACUCUUACAAGAGUAAUAAAAGUGAGAACCGAUUUCGAAACGUAUCCAUCCGCAGCAUAAAUGAUAGUAUACAUAAAAGCAGAAGGAUGAGUGAGCAUGAUUACAAAUGUAUUGAUAAUAGUAGUAAUAAAAAAUAUAAUAAAACAAUAAUUCCUAUAAAAAAAAAAAUGGAAAAUAAUUAUAUGAACAAUAAUUUUUAUUAUAAUCAGCGAAAUUAUAGAGAUAGUAACAUUUGUAACAAUAAAUAUAAUUAUUCGUCUAAUUAUAGUUACACGGGUUGUUACAAAGGUAGCCGUAAAUACUCUUCUUCUAUGAGGUUUUAUAAAAAUGAUGUAGAAGAAAGUCAAUCUUCAUCUGGUAAAGUAAGACCAAACGUAGUAGUACCAAACACAACAAGAUCAAAUACAAUGAGGCCAAACACAUUGAGGACAAACGUAGUAAAAAAAACAGAACUCCAUAGUAUUGACGAAAAACAAUUUUUACCUCAAAGAAGCUACUCUUCAACAUCAAAAUUUGAACUAAGAAAGAAUUUAAUAUAUAGUAAUAAAAAACUACGCGAUUUAUCUGAUAAAAUCAACAAUACAAUAACAAAUGAUAUAAAGCAUUAUUACAACUCACAACAAAACAUACUAAAAGAAAACAGUAGAGACAUUUCAGUUUCAAGUUCUAUGUUAUUAAAUAAAAAUGAGAAAAACUUAAAAAGUAACACUAGUUCUGAUUUUAACAAAAAAAAUGUAAUUAUAAAAAAUAAAAAAAAACAAAGUAUUCCGAAUAGUAACUUAAUAAAAAAGAAUAGUAAAAAAGAUAUAUAUGCUUUUUUACAUCACCAAAGAGUGUUAAAUAAAAAAUAUACUUCACCUUAUACAUACAAAAAAGGAGAUGAAAAUAGUUAUAAGUAUAAUAGAAGAAUAAAAAUAGGAAAUACGGAGAAUAUCAUAGAAAGAAAUAUUAAAAAUGUUGGAGUAAAAAAAAAUGAAGACACAAUAGUGCCACAUAAUAAAAAUGAUGAAAAUAAAAAAAAUAAAAAAAAAAUGCAGAAUGUGGGUAACAGAGAGCAUGGUGAACAGAAUAAUGACGAAGGAAAGAGUGAGAAAAAAAUUGAUCCUAUAAAUGACAAAAAAAAAGAAUUAAACUGUGACAGUAGUAUCACUCAAUAUAGUAAUAAUGACUCCUGUGAUAGCACUUACUCUAUAAAAAAAAUUAAAACAUAUUUANAUAAUCAACAGGAGCAAAGGCAAGAGAAAAUGUUACGACAACACGCAAAAAAGGAAAAAAAAGAAAUAUAUGAAUGUGUUCAUAAAAAAAAUGUAAUUAAUGGUAUGAGAAACGAUAAGAGGAAUUCACAUGGAACUAUUUUAAAGAAAAAUAUACCAGAAAAAAAAGAACACGAAGAAAGUCAAGAGCAACAAGAUAUAGAUCAACUUAGUAAUGACCAACUAAGUAAUGACCAACUAAGUAAUGACCAACUAAGUAAUGACCAACUAAAUUAUGACCAACUAAAUUAUGACCAACUAAAUUAUGACCAACUAAAUAAUGACCAACUAAGUAAUGACCAACCGAG